This 1232-nucleotide ribosomal RNA is filed under the name metagenome. Its description in RNAcentral is "bacterial LSU rRNA". It matches the Rfam family "Bacterial large subunit ribosomal RNA", at positions 1705 to 2925 of the family's 2925-position model. The record is from RNAcentral.
GCCCGGAACUCGGCAAAUUGACACCGUAACUUCGGAAGAAGGUGUGCCCUGGUAGGUUGUAGCCGUACAGGCGAAGGCCGAAGGGGUUGCAAAAAAUCGGUGGCUGCGACUGUUUAAUAAAAACACAGCACUCUGCAAAGAUGAUGAAUCGACGUAUAGGGUGUGACGCCUGCCCGGUGCCGGAAGGUUAAAUGAUGGGGUGCAAGCUCUUGAUUGAAGCCCCGGUAAACGGCGGCCGUAACGAUAACGGUCCUAAGGUAGCGAAAUUCCUUGUCGGGUAAGUUCCGACCUGCACGAAUGGCGUAACGAUGGCCACACUGUCUCCUCCUGAGACUCAGCGAAGUUGAAGUGUUUGUGAUGAUGCAAUCUACCCGCGGCUAGACGGAAAGACCCCGUGCACCUUUACUGUAGCUUUGCAUUGGACUGUGAUGGGAUCUGUGUAGGAUAGGUGGGAGCCUGUGAAGCGGUGGCGCUAGCCAUCGUGGAGGCGACGUUGAAAUACCACCCUGAUGUCAUUGCGGUUCUAACCUUGGCCCCUAUAGCGGGGUUGGGGACAGUGCAUGGUAGGCAGUUUGACUGGGGCGGUCUCCUCCCAAAGAGUAACGGAGGAGCUCGAAGGUACGCUAGGUACGGUCGGACAUCGUGCUGAUAGUGCAAUGGCACAAGCGUGCUUGACUGCGAGACUGACAAGUCGAGCAGGUGCGAAAGCAGGACAUAGUGAUCCGGUGGUUCUGAAUGGAAGGGCCAUCGCUCAACGGAUAAAAGGUACGCCGGGGAUAACAGGCUGAUUCCUCCCAAGAGUUCAUAUCGACGGGGGAGUUUGGCACCUCGAUGUCGGCUCAUCACAUCCUGGGGCUGUAGCCGGUCCCAAGGGUAUGGCUGUUCGCCAUUUAAAGUGGUACGUGAGCUGGGUUUAAAACGUCGUGAGACAGUUUGGUCCCUAUCUGCCGUGGGCGUUGGACGUUUGAGGGGGGCUGCUCCUAGUACGAGAGGACCGGAGUGGACGAACCUCUGGUGUACCGGUUAUCACGCCAGUGGUAUUGCCGGGUAGCUAAGUUCGGGAGAGAUAAGCGCUGAAAGCAUCUAAGUGCGAAACUUGCCCCAAGAUGAGACGUCCCUGGAGGUUAACUCCACUAAAGGGUCGCGGAAGACCACCGCGUCGAUAGGUCGGGUGUGGAAGCGCAGUAAUGCGUUAAGCUAACCGAUACUAAUUGCCCGUGCGGCUUGAUCCC